UGGGGAAUAUUGCACAAUGGGGGAAACCCUGAUGCAGCGACGCCGCGUGAGGGAAGACGGUUUUCGGAUUGUAAACCUCUGUCUCUGGUGAAGAUAAUGACGGUAACCAGAGAGGAAGCAGUGGCUAACUCUGUGCCAGCAGCCGCGGUAAUACAGAGACUGCAAGCGUUACUCGGAUUCACUGGGCGUAAAGGGAGCGCAGGCGGAAUCGUGUGUCGGAUGUGAAACCCGGGGGCUCAACUCCCGGACUGCGUCUGAAACUGCGAUUCUAGGGACUCGGAGGGGCCAGUGGAAUUCUUGGUGGAGCAGUGAAAUGCGUAGAUAUCAAGAGGAACACCAACGGCGAAGGCAGCUGGCUGGACGAGAUCCGACGCUCAGGCUCGAAAGUAUGGGGAGCAAAAA
This 402-nucleotide ribosomal RNA is filed under the name uncultured bacterium. Its description in RNAcentral is "bacterial SSU rRNA". It matches the Rfam family "Bacterial small subunit ribosomal RNA", at positions 355 to 774 of the family's 1533-position model. The record is from RNAcentral.